AGGUUGUCAUUGUCACUUUUUUCCACUGCUCCAUUCUCUGAUUUGGCCUUAAUAUAAUAUUUUGGACCUAUUUUAGUUUCAUUCUUCUUUUUUAUUUUUUCCUUUUUCCUUUUUCAACUAAAGAACCAGAGAUUGGUUUGAUAAAAAUUUUAAUAUUUGACUUUUUCACCAGCUAGCUAAUUAUUUUAGCUACUUGGUGAAAGACCUCAAAUAUUAGCCCUUCACCGGGUAGCUAAUUUUAAUGUGUGUGCUCUUCAAUUUUGACUGGCCAAUUUAUUUUGAGAAGCACUAAAAACAUCUCUCCAAUUAACUUCUUACACAGAUAUUUUCUCCUGUACAUAUUUCAUUUUUUCACUGUUCUAUUCGAUCCCUUUGUCCUACACAGCACCAUCAACAUAUCCCCUCCCUGCGCCCCGGCCCCCACCACCACCCACACAUACACCUCUCACUGUGCUACUUCAUUCACAUGAUCCUUUUUUUAAAACAGCUGAAGGAACUGCAGUAGCUGAAACCCCCAAAUCAGGUCUAUAAGGCUGAGCUCACAUAGAUUAUGGAAUAUUGCUCUCUUGAUGCCUGGGUCAUCGUGCUUGCGCUAGUCCAUUAAACUGUUUGCUUAUGGUGCAAUGUUGGAAACAUAUGUAACCAUCUGCAAAGAGUGAAUUUAAGAACUUCUCAUGUCUACCUUUGGAGAACCGAUGGAAGAACCAGAGAAACCAGACACUCUUUGGGAGGAAAAGCAGCUGUAUUGGAGAUAGCUUAUUUAACAUCACCUCAUUGGGUGCACUGUUACAUUUUAUGUACCAUUAUAAACUAUCUUACCGUGCACUUUUGUGCAGCGACAGAGGCAAGAUCUCUAUUGUUGUAUUUCCUGCCCUAGUGUUGUAUCCAGUCAAUACUUUCUCUUCGAGUUUUAUCAUAUGUUUGAUUUUGUUUGGCUAGUGAUGGCUUUGGGAGUA
Long non-coding RNA from Lycium ferocissimum, 956 nucleotides. RefSeq lists it as uncharacterized. The record is from RefSeq and is a predicted model, not a curated record. NCBI's taxonomy places the organism in Eukaryota, Viridiplantae, Streptophyta, Magnoliopsida, Solanales, Solanaceae. The transcript is spliced from 2 exons.